Molecule: microRNA precursor, 57 nt
Filed under: Homo sapiens (human)
Lineage: Eukaryota; Metazoa; Chordata; Mammalia; Primates; Hominidae
Description: Hsa-Mir-506-P1c2_pre stem-loop
Source: RNAcentral
UACUGCAGACGUGGCAAUCAUGUAUAAUUAAAAAUGAUUGGUACGUCUGUGGGUAGA